Molecule: non-coding RNA, 30 nt
Filed under: Rattus norvegicus (Norway rat)
Lineage: Eukaryota; Metazoa; Chordata; Mammalia; Rodentia; Muridae
Source: RNAcentral
UGGUUUUGGUGCAUUGUGUUCUGGAGGCGU